AUUGAACGCUGGCGGCAGGCCUAACACAUGCAAGUCGAGCGGAUGAAGGGAGCUUGCUCCUGGAUUCAGCGGCGGACGGGUGAGUAAUGCCUAGGAAUCUGCCUGGUAGUGGGGGAUAACGUCCGGAAACUGGCGCUAAUACCGCAUACGUCCUGAGGGAGAAAGUGGGGGAUCUUCGGACCUCACGCUAUCAUAUGAGCCUAGGUCGGAUUAGCUAGUUGGUGGGGUAAAGGCCUACCAAGGCGACGAUCCGUAACUGGUCUGAGAGGAUGAUCAGUCACACUGGAACUGAGACACGGUCCAGACUCCUACGGGAGGCAGCAGUGGGGAAUAUUGGACAAUGGGCGAAAGCCUGAUCCAGCCAUGCCGCGUGUGUGAAGAAGGUCUUCGGAUUGUAAAGCACUUUAAGUUGGGAGGAAGGGCAGUAAGUUAAUACCUUGCUGUUUUGACGUUACCAAAAGAAUAAGCACCGGCUAACUUCGUG
RNAcentral lists this ribosomal RNA (484 nucleotides) under uncultured bacterium. RNAcentral describes it as "partial 16S ribosomal RNA". It matches the Rfam family "Bacterial small subunit ribosomal RNA", at positions 30 to 507 of the family's 1533-position model. The record is from RNAcentral.